Mustela erminea (ermine) is the source of this 1287-nucleotide long non-coding RNA. RefSeq lists it as uncharacterized. The transcript has 4 exons. Lineage: Eukaryota; Metazoa; Chordata; Mammalia; Carnivora; Mustelidae. The record is from RefSeq and is a predicted model, not a curated record.
AGGCAGGAAUGAAAAUCUGGCUUCCUGAUAGAGCCUACAACAUGCAUUUUAUUAAGUUGCUGCUUUCAGAAAGGAAGUUUCUCCUUGAGCCCUAGGAUUCAUAGGCCAUCUGGAUUCUGAAACAUCUGGACACCGAAUUUCUGCAGAGGAGAAUCAGAGGAAAGAGACGAUCAGUGGUAUUGGGUGUCUCCGGAGAGAUUUAAAUCAACGAUGAUAUUUUGGUUGUCUCCCUCUUGGAACAUUAACACAAAACGUGAAAGGAAAAAACAACACAUCACAGGAACCCAGUGUUCCAAGAAUACCAAGACUAUAUAAGAAGUGAACGGUGCUAUCACAAACAUCAACUUCUAACCAGAAAAAGGCAUCAUGAGGAAGCCUCUCCUUGGUCAUUUUAGGAACCCGAAGAACAAGUUGUAAGCAGAGAGAAAUAUUCCUUUUUCCACUGGAACUUAUUGAAGCAGGUCCCAGACCCAACCAGAAAGAUGCCUGAAUUGCCUUUUGAUUUUUGCACUUACAGCCUUGGAUCAUGGACAACUCUGGUGCCGACAACUAGGACUAAUAGCUCACAAGUAAAGAAGUAAACAACGCUGAGUUUUUCUCACUUCACAGAAACUCUGAAAUGACUCCAGAUUACCAUGAGCUCCUUGCUUCCCCUCUGCUUUUUUCACUCUGAGGAUUUGAAGUCAGGAGGCAAUCAGCCCCUGAGGUGUAAACAACAAGAGAUUACUCAUUGAUGGUAUAAACAGAAGAAGAGUACAGAAGUUCAGGCCAGGACCCAGUUGUCAUCUGAAGAGAUACAUCAGCUACAAAGCCUGUCCAAACGGUCAUCACAAAUAGGUUUCAGAAUGUUUUAUAUGGACCUGAGCCACGUUUUUACCUUGUCCGUAUACUGAAAAGAUGAUCUAUCACAGGGCAACGAACUUUCAAAUAACAAUAAAAAUUAUUUGAUUAGGAGGAAAGAACAAGGGUGGGGUGGGAGGGAAUGAUUAACCUCCCCGUGACUCACAUAGAGCCUGAGCCACUGGGGAUGAGUUGGCCACGACAGAAUUUAUACCACACUACAGGCUGAAUUUCAACAAGUUAUUUAGGAUGAUUUUGUGACUAAGCAUGAAAUUGGAAUUAUAUUGUCUCCUGUGUCCAAGUAAUAUAAGCAUUUUUUUCAUUAUUUCAGAUUUUUUAAAUUCUUGUGCUUCUUUAGAAUGAGCUCACAAAAUAAAUGUACUAUGUAAACUACAAAAGGAAACGUAUGUCCUUUUAUUUCCAUUGUGUUGGAAGGAUUUGGUAAGG